RNAcentral lists this non-coding RNA (323 nucleotides) under Chlorocebus sabaeus (green monkey). Lineage: Eukaryota; Metazoa; Chordata; Mammalia; Primates; Cercopithecidae. The record is from Rfam by way of RNAcentral.
GCUGGGUGUGGUGGCCUGCACCUGUAAUCCCAGCUACUCAGGAGGCUGAGGCAGGAGAAUUGCUUGAACCCAGAAGGUGGAGGUUGCAGUAAGCUGAGAUUGCACCACUGCUCUCCAGCCUGGGUGAUAGGAGACUCUGUCUCAAAAAAAAAAAAAAGACAAGUCUGACAGUGAGUGCUGGAAUCACCAUUUACGAACCCAAUUUAUUUGUGUGUGUGUGUGAGAGAGAGAGUCUCACUGUGUUGCCCAGGCUGGAGGCAGUGGUGCAAUCUCGGCUCACUGCAACCUCUGCUUCCUGGGUUCAAGUGAUUCUCCUGCCUCAG